CCUACGGGAGGCAGCAGUGAGGAAUAUUGGUCAAUGGACGAGAGUCUGAACCAGCCAAGUCGCGUGAAGGAUGACUGCCCUAUGGGUUGUAAACUUCUUUUAUAUGGGAAUAAAAUGUUCCACGUGUGGGAUUUUGUAUGUACCAUAUGAAUAAGGAUCGGCUAACUCCGUGCCAGCAGCCGCGGUAAUACGGAGGAUCCGAGCGUUAUCCGGAUUUAUUGGGUUUAAAGGGAGCGUAGGUGGAUUGUUAAGUUAGUUGUGAAAGUUUGCGGCUCAACCGUAAAAUUGCAGUUGAAACUGGCAGUCUUGAGUACAGUAGAGGUGAGGGGAAUUCGUGGUGUAGCGGUGAAAUGCUUAGAUAGCACGAAGAACUCCGAUUGCGAAGGCAGUUCACUGGACUGCAACUGACACUGAGGCUCGAAAGUGUGGGUAUCAAACAGGAUUAGAUACCCGGGUAGUC
Molecule: ribosomal RNA, 460 nt
Filed under: uncultured bacterium
Lineage: Bacteria
Description: partial 16S ribosomal RNA
Rfam family: Bacterial small subunit ribosomal RNA
Source: RNAcentral